This is a long non-coding RNA of Grus americana (Whooping crane), 522 nucleotides long. RefSeq lists it as uncharacterized. The transcript is spliced from 4 exons. The record is from RefSeq and is a predicted model, not a curated record. Lineage: Eukaryota; Metazoa; Chordata; Aves; Gruiformes; Gruidae.
CUGCCGCUUCUUUGUCCUCAGGGGGAGGACUCCUCUCAUCGUUCCCCUGCUCCAGCAUGGAGUCCCUCCCAUGGGACACAGUCCUCCACCAACUUCUCCAACGUGAGUCCUUCCCACGGGCUGCAGUUCUUCACCAACUGCUCCACAUGGGGUCCCCCACGGGGUCACAAGUCCUGCCAGCAAACCUGCCCUGGCGUGGGCUCCCCUCUUCACGGGGUCACAAGUCCUGCCAGCAAACCUGCCCUGGCGUGGGCUCCCCUCUUCACGGGUCCACCGGUCCUGCCAGGAACUUGCUCCAGCGUGGGCUUCCCACGGGCCGCAGCCUCCUUCAGGUGCCUCCACCUGCUCCGGCGUGGGGUCCUCCACGGGCUGCAGGUGGAAUCGCUACACCCCCUCAUCCUUCCUCCAUGGGCUGCAGGGUGACAGCCUGCUUCACCAUGGUCUUCACCACGGGCUGCAGGGGGAUCUCUGCUCCGGCGCCUGGAGCUCCUCCUCCCCCUCCAUCUGCACUGACCUUGGUGU